Crotalus tigris (Tiger rattlesnake) is the source of this 380-nucleotide long non-coding RNA. RefSeq lists it as uncharacterized. The record is from RefSeq and is a predicted model, not a curated record. NCBI's taxonomy places the organism in Eukaryota, Metazoa, Chordata, Lepidosauria, Squamata, Viperidae. The transcript has 4 exons.
CACGUGGAGAAGGCGCCCCUUUUGCUGCUCUCUCGCCCGCUUUUGGUUUUUUUCCAAGCUACGCUGAGUAUGAAGUGGUCGACAGCUGCAACGUCUGGGUGGCUCGGGGAUCAGACUCCCUUAGUAGAAAGCGAUAUUCGAGCUUAUGGACAACCCUCAGUCUUCAUGCAGUUCCUUAAAGUACAACUGGACAAGAAGGCUUAGCUACAACUAGAAACUAUUCCAAUGAAUGCAUGCAAUGUGAUGUCUGCAACUUCCCCCUCAUUCUUCUACAGAACUACUAAAGGAAGAACUCAAUUCAAAUGAAGGCUAAUACCUGCUGAAGAAUUGGCAGCUGAGAUUUCACAUUACUGCAUUUCACAAUAAAGUUUUGUUUAAAA